RNAcentral lists this ribosomal RNA (754 nucleotides) under Trentepohliaceae sp. Kukwa 19307. Its description in RNAcentral is "SSU rRNA". It matches the Rfam family "Eukaryotic small subunit ribosomal RNA", at positions 283 to 1045 of the family's 1831-position model. The record is from RNAcentral. Lineage: Eukaryota; Viridiplantae; Chlorophyta; Ulvophyceae; Trentepohliales; Trentepohliaceae.
GGCGAUGUUUCAUUUCAAAUUUUCCUGCCCUAUCAACUUUCGACGGUAGGGUAGUGGCCUACCGUGGUGGUAACGGGUGACGGAGGAUUAGGGUUCGAUUCCGGAGAGGGAGCCUGAGAAACGGCUACCACAUCCAAGGAAGGCAGCAGGCGCGCAAAUUACCCAAAUCCCAACUCGGGGAGGUAGUGACAAGAAAUAACGAUGCUCCGGCCUCACGGUCGGGUAAUCGGAAUGAGAACAAUUUAAAUCCCUUAUCGAGGAUCAAUUGGAGGGCAAGUCUGGUGCCAGCAGCCGCGGUAAUUCCAGCUCCAAUAGCGUAUAUUUAAGUUGCUGCGGUUAAAAAGCUCGUAGUCGGAUUUCGGGUGGCGCCUACCGGUCCGCCUUUGGUGAGUACUGGUAGGUGCCACCUUUCUGCCGAGGACGGGGUACUGGGCUUAACUGUCUGGGCCCCGGAGUCGGCGAUGUCACUUUGAGUAAAUUAGGGUGUUCAAAGCAGGCUUAUGCUCUGUAUACACUAGCAUGGGAUGACACGAUAGGACUUCGGUUUAUCUUGUCGGUCUGUAGAUCGGAGUAAUGAUUAAGAGGGACAGUCGGGGGCAUUCGUAUUUCGUAGUCAGAGGUGAAAUUCUUGGAUUUACGGAAGACGAACUUCUGCGAAAGCAUUUGCCAAGGAUGUUUUCAUUGAUCAAGAACGAAAGUCGGGGGCUCGAAGACGAUUAGAUACCGUCGUAGUCUCGACCAUAAACGAUGCCAC